Molecule: ribosomal RNA, 468 nt
Filed under: uncultured bacterium
Lineage: Bacteria
Description: partial 16S ribosomal RNA
Rfam family: Bacterial small subunit ribosomal RNA
Source: RNAcentral
GACGAACGCUGGCGGCGUGCUUAACACAUGCAAGUCGAACGGAAAGGCCCUGCUUUUGUGGGGUGCUCGAGUGGCGAACGGGUGAGUAACACGUGAGUAACCUGCCCUUGACUUUGGGAUAACUUCAGGAAACUGGGGCUAUUACCGGAUAGGAGCUCCUGCUGCAUGGUGGGGGUUGGAAAGUUUCGGCGGUUGGGGAUGGACUCGCGGCUUAUCAGCUUGUUGGUGGGGUAGUGGCUUACCAAGGCUUUGACGGGUAGCCGGCCUGAGAGGGUGACCGGCCACAUUGGGACUGCGAUACGGCCCAGACUCCUACGGGAGGCAGCAGUGGGGAAGAUUGCACAAUGGGCGGAAGCCUGAUGCAGCAACGCAGCGUGCGGGAUGACGGCCUUCGGGUUGUAAACCGCUUUCGCCUGUGACGAAGCGUGAGUGACGGUAAUGGGUAAAGAAGCACCGGCUAACUACGUG